Molecule: ribosomal RNA, 1343 nt
Filed under: uncultured bacterium
Lineage: Bacteria
Description: 16S ribosomal RNA
Rfam family: Bacterial small subunit ribosomal RNA
Source: RNAcentral
GACGAACGCUGGCGGCGUGCUUAACACAUGCAAGUCGAACGGAAAGGCCCUGCUUUUGUGGGGUGCUCGAGUGGCGAACGGGUGAGUAACACGUGAGUAACCUGCCCUUGACUUUGGGAUAACUUCAGGAAACUGGGGCUAAUACCGGAUAGGAGCUCCUGCUGCAUGGUGGGGGUUGGAAAGUUUCGGCGGUUGGGGAUGGACUCGCGGCUUAUCAGCUUGUUGGUGGGGUAGUGGCUUACCAAGGCUUUGACGGGUAGCCGGCCUGAGAGGGUGACCGGCCACAUUGGGACUGAGAUACGGCCCAGACUCCUACGGGGGGCAGCAGUGGGGAAUAUUGCACAAUGGGCGGAAGCCUGAUGCAGCAACGCCGCGUGCGGGAUGACGGCCUUCGGGUUGUAAACCGCUUUCGCCUGUGACGAAGCGUGAGUGACGGUAAUGGGUAAAGAAGCACCGGCUAACUACGUGCCAGCAGCCGCGGUGAUACGUAGGGUGCGAGCGUUGUCCGGAUUUAUUGGGCGUAAAGGGCUCGUAGGUGGUUGAUCGCGUCGGAAGUGUAAUCUUGGGGCUUAACCCUGAGCGUGCUUUCGAUACGGGUUGACUUGAGGAAGGUAGGGGAGAAUGGAAUUCCUGGUGGAGCGGUGGAAUGCGCAGAUAUCAGGAGGAACACCAGUGGCGAAGGCGGUUCUCUGGGCCUUUCCUGACGCUGAGGAGCGAAAGCGUGGGGAGCGAACAGGCUUAGAUACCCUGGUAGUCCACGCUGUAAACGGUGGGUACUAGGUGUGGGGUCCAUUCCACGGGUUCCGUGCCGUAGCUAACGCUUUAAGUACCCCGCCUGGGGAGUACGGCCGCAAGGCUAAAACUCAAAGGAAUUGACGGGGCCCCGCACAAGCGGCGGAGCAUGCGGAUUAAUUCGAUGCAACGCGUAGAACCUUACCUGGGUUUGACAUGGAUCGGGAGUGCUCAGAGAUGGGUGUGCCUCUUUUGGGGUCGGUUCACAGGUGGUGCAUGGCUGUCGUCAGCUCGUGUCGUGAGAUGUUGGGUUAAGUCCCGCAACGAGCGCAACCCUUGUUCACUGUUGCCAGCACGUUAUGGUGGGGACUCAGUGGAGACCGCCGGGGUCAACUCGGAGGAAGGUGGGGAUGACGUCAAGUCAUCAUGCCCCUUAUGUCCAGGGCUUCACGCAUGCUACAAUGGCUGGUACAGAGAGUGGCGAGCCUGUGAGGGUGAGCGAAUCUCGGAAAGCCGGUCUCAGUUCGGAUUGGGGUCUGCAACUCGACCUCAUGAAGUCGGAGUCGCUAGUAAUCGCAGAUCAGCAACGCUGCGGUGAAUACGUUCCCGGG